This 380-nucleotide unclassified non-coding RNA is filed under the name uncultured Orbiliaceae. RNAcentral describes it as "sequence contains ITS2". The stretch from base 1 to 154 matches the Rfam family "5.8S ribosomal RNA". Lineage: Eukaryota; Fungi; Ascomycota; Orbiliomycetes; Orbiliales. The record is from RNAcentral.
AACUUUUGGCAAUGGAUCACUUGGUUCUCGCAUCGAUGAAGAACGCAGCGAAACGCGAUAGGUAAUGUGAAUUGCAGAAUUCAGUGAAUCAUCGAAUCUUUGAACGCACAUUGCGCCUUUUGGUAUUCCGAGAGGCACGUCUGUUUGAGCGUCAGUACGCACCUCUGCAUCGGCUUUGCUGUCGACUGCGGGUCAUGGGGGUUUGGGCCGCGAGGCCUCCCCUUAAUGCGCACGCUUGCGGGCUUCCACAGAAUGUCAACGUAGUAAACUAAACGCUCGAUGAUUGACUGGGACAGCUGCGCCUGAAUUCAAAUCUAAGGUUUGACCUCAGAUCAGACGAGGAUACCCGCUGAACUUAAGCAUAUCAAUAAGCGGAGGCU